Molecule: ribosomal RNA, 518 nt
Filed under: uncultured archaeon
Lineage: Archaea
Description: bacterial SSU rRNA
Rfam family: Archaeal small subunit ribosomal RNA
Source: RNAcentral
GCAAUGCGCGAAAGCGUGACGGGGGUAGUCUGAGUGCCUUCCUAACGGAAGGCUUUUCUUGAGUCCGAAUAACUCGGGGAAUAAGUGGUGGGUAAAACUCGUGCCAGCCGCCGCGGUAAUACGAGUAGCACAAGUGGUAUCCGAGAAUAUUGAGCUUAAAGCGCCCGUAGCCGGCCGCGCCAGUUUCCUGUGAAAUCUACCGGCUCAACCGGUUUUAGGCUUGCAGGGAAUACUACGCGGCUUGGGGGUGGGGGAGGCUAGAGGUACUCUAGGGGGAGCGGUAAAAUGCUUUAAUCCUUAGAGGACCAACAGUGGCGAAGGCGUCUAGCCAAAACACGUCCGACGGUGAGGGACGAAGGCCAGGGGAGCAAUCGGAUUAGAUACCCGAGUAGUCCUGGCAGUAAAUGAUGCAGACUUGGCGUUGCAUUCACUCCGUGUGAAUGCAGUGCCGUAGGGAAACCGUUUAGUCUGCCGCUUGGGGAGUACGGUCGCAAGAUUGAAACUUAAAGGAAUUGGCG